RNAcentral lists this ribosomal RNA (127 nucleotides) under Nannospalax galili (Upper Galilee mountains blind mole rat). The record is from RNAcentral. Lineage: Eukaryota; Metazoa; Chordata; Mammalia; Rodentia; Spalacidae.
CUUAGCUGAUACCACCCUGAAUGUGCAGAUUCAUCUGAUCUCAGAAGCCAAGCAGGGUCGGGCCUGUUUAGUACUUGGAUGUGAGAUCAUUUAUCUUAAUAUAGAGAUAAUCAAGGUACUUUUAAGA